AGAGUUUGAUCCUGGCUCAGGACGAGCGCUGGCGGCGUGCUUAACACAUGCAAGUCGAGCGGAAAGGCCCUUCGGGGUACUCGAGCGGCGAACGGGUGAGUAACACGUGAGGAACCUGCCCUCAGCUCCGGGAUAGCUCCGGGAAACCGGAAUUAAUACCGGAUACGACCCUGACUGACAUCGGCCAGGGUGGAAAGGAUUUCCGGCUGAGGAUGGACUCGCGGCCUAUCAGCUAGUUGGUGGAGUAACGGCCCACCAAGGCGACGACGGGUAGCCGGCCUGAGGGGGCGACCGGCCCCACUGGGACUGAGACACGGCCCAGACUCCUGCGGGAGGCAGCAGUGGGGAAUAUUGCGCAAUGGGCGAAAACCUGACGCAGCGACGCCGCGUGGGGGAUGAAGGCCUUCGGGUUGUAAACCCCUUUCAGCAGGGACGAAGCGAGAGUGACGGUACCUGCAGAAGAAGCGCCGGCUAACUACGUGCCAGCAGCCGCGGUAAU
RNAcentral lists this ribosomal RNA (499 nucleotides) under uncultured soil bacterium. Its description in RNAcentral is "bacterial SSU rRNA". It matches the Rfam family "Bacterial small subunit ribosomal RNA", at positions 8 to 524 of the family's 1533-position model. The record is from RNAcentral.